Molecule: ribosomal RNA, 1704 nt
Filed under: human oral metagenome
Description: bacterial LSU rRNA
Rfam family: Bacterial large subunit ribosomal RNA
Source: RNAcentral
GUUCCAGGGCCAGGUUGAUCCGCCCUGGGUUAGUCGGGUCCUAAGGCGAGGCCGACGGGCGUAGUCGAUGGACAACGGGUUGAUAUUCCCGUACCGGCGCUUGACCGUUCAAUGUUCGCCGGGGUGAUGCUAACCAUCCCCGAUCCUGUGUGUCUCUUUCGGGAGGCGUGUGGGGGAGGGCGUGGGGUCCGAGCCUGGGUGGGCAAGCGUGGUAACAGGUGUGACGCAGAGUGGUAGUCCAACCGUGUCGUAUGGCUGAGCACGGCUAAGGGUGCAGCCCGUCUCCCAGGUAAAUCCGGGGGGCGUUCGGGUCAGGCCUGAUGGGGACCGUUUGACGGGAAGUGGAUGAUCCUGUGCUGCCGAGAAAAGCAUCGACGUCAGGGCAAGCGCCGCCCGUACCCGAAACCGACACAGGUGGUCAGGUAGAGUAUACCGAGGCGUGCGAGUCAAUCGUGGUUAAGGAACUCGGCAAAAUGCCCCCGUAACUUCGGGAGAAGGGGGGCCCCGGUCUUGACGUCCCCGUGCGGGGCGGAGGGGUCGGGGCCGCAGAGUCCAGGGAGAAGCGACUGUUUAUCAAAAACACAGGUCCGUGCCAAGCCGCAAGGCGAUGUAUACGGACUGACGCCUGCCCGGUGCUGGAAGGUUAAGCGGACCGGUCAGCCCCUCUUUGUGGGGGUGACGCCGGGAAGUUAAGCCCCAGUAAACGGCGGUGGUAACUAUAACCAUCCUAAGGUAGCGAAAUUCCUUGUCGGGUAAGUUCCGACCUGCACGAAUGGCGUAACGACUUCUCCGCUGUCUCGACCACGAACUCGGUGAAAUUGCAGUACGAGUAAAGAUGCUCGUUUCGCGCAGCAGGACGGAAAGACCCCGGGACCUUUACUGCAGCUUGGUAUGGGUGUUCGGCGCGGUUUGUGUAGGAUAGGUGGGAGACGGUGAUCCGCUCGCGCUAGCGGGCGGGGAGUCGCUGGUGAAAUACCACUCUGGCCGUGUUGGGCUCCUAACCUCGGCCCGUGAUCCGGGUCAGGGACAGUGCCUGGUGGGUAGUUUAACUGGGGCGGUUGCCUCCUAAAGGGUAACGGAGGCGCUCAAAGGUUCCCUCAGCCUGGUCGGCAACCAGGUGGCGAGUGUAAGUGCACAAGGGGGCUUGACUGUGAGACUGACGGGUCGAGCAGGUACGAAAGUAGGAACUAGUGAUCCGGCGGUGGCUUGUGGAAGCGCCGUCGCUCAACGGAUAAAAGGUACCCCGGGGAUAACAGGCUGAUCCUGCCCAAGAGUCCAUAUCGACGGCAUGGUUUGGCACCUCGAUGUCGGCUCGUCGCAUCCUGGGGCUGGAGUAGGUCCCAAGGGUUGGGCUGUUCGCCCAUUAAAGCGGUACGCGAGCUGGGUUCAGAACGUCGUGAGACAGUUCGGUCCCUAUCCGCUGCGCGCGUAGGAAUCUUGAGAAGGGCUGUCCUUAGUACGAGAGGACCGGGACGGACCAACCUCUGGUGUGCCAGUUGUUCCGCCAGGAGCACGGCUGGUUGGCUACGUUCGGGAGGGAUAACCGCUGAAAGCAUCUAAGCGGGAAGCCUGCUUCAAGAUAAGUUCUCCAUCCAGCCUGUGUGCUGGGUGAGGUCCCCCGCAGACGACGGGGUUGAUAGGCCGGACGUGGACGCCUCGUAAGGGGUGGAGCUGACCGGUACUAAUGGACCGACCGCCUACACC